UACGGAGGGUGCAAGCGUUGUCCGGAAUCAUUGGGUGUAAAGGGUGCGUAGGCUGGCAUCUAAGUCUGGGGUGAAAGUUUGCCGCUUAACGGUAAAAUUGCCUUGGAUACUGGAUGUCUUGAAUCUGACAGAGGUCGGUGGAAUUCGUAGUGUAGCGGUGAAAUGCAUAGAUAUUACGAAGAACAUCAGUGGCGAAGGCGGCCGGCUGGGUCAGUAUUGACGCUGAGGCACGAGAGCGUGGGGAGCGAACAGG
Molecule: unclassified non-coding RNA, 253 nt
Filed under: uncultured Bacteroidota bacterium
Lineage: Bacteria; Pseudomonadati; Bacteroidota
Description: uncultured Bacteroidetes bacterium contains 16S-23S intergenic spacer region
Rfam family: Bacterial small subunit ribosomal RNA
Source: RNAcentral